AAAUUGAAGAGUUUGAUCAUGGCUCAGAUUGAACGCUGGCGGCAGGCCUAACACAUGCAAGUCGAACGGUAACAGGAAGCAGCUUGCUGCUUCGCUGACGAGUGGCGGACGGGUGAGUAAUGUCUGGGAAACUGCCUGAUGGAGGGGGAUAACUACUGGAAACGGUAGCUAAUACCGCAUAACGUCGCAAGACCAAAGGGGGGAGACCUUCGGGCCUCUUGCCAUCGGAUGUGCCCAGAUGGGAUUAGCUUGUUGGUGGGGUAACGGCUCACC
RNAcentral lists this ribosomal RNA (273 nucleotides) under Escherichia coli. RNAcentral's name for it is "partial 16S ribosomal RNA". It matches the Rfam family "Bacterial small subunit ribosomal RNA", at positions 1 to 269 of the family's 1533-position model. Lineage: Bacteria; Pseudomonadati; Pseudomonadota; Gammaproteobacteria; Enterobacterales; Enterobacteriaceae. The record is from RNAcentral.